GGGGUAAUGCAUGGGCGCAGCCUGAUGCAGCCUGCCGCGUGUAUGAAGAAGGCCUUCGGGUUGUAAAGUACUUUCAGCGGGGAGGAAGGGAGUAAAGUUAAUACCUUUGCUCAUUGACGUUACCCGCAGAAGAAGCACCGGCUAACUCCGUGCCAGCAGCCGCGGUAAUCA
Molecule: ribosomal RNA, 171 nt
Filed under: uncultured bacterium
Lineage: Bacteria
Description: partial 16S ribosomal RNA
Rfam family: Bacterial small subunit ribosomal RNA
Source: RNAcentral